This 435-nucleotide ribosomal RNA is filed under the name uncultured delta proteobacterium. RNAcentral describes it as "bacterial SSU rRNA". It matches the Rfam family "Bacterial small subunit ribosomal RNA", at positions 1066 to 1501 of the family's 1533-position model. The record is from RNAcentral. Lineage: Bacteria; Deltaproteobacteria.
CGUGAGGAGUUGGUUAAGUCACGCAAGAGCGCACACCUAUUGUUAGUUGCCAUCACAUAAUGGUGGGCACUCUAAUGAGACUGCCCGGGUCAACCGGGAGGAAGGUGGGGACGACGUCAAGUCAUCAUGGGCCUUACGCCUAGGGCUACACACGUACUACAAUGGUGCAUACAAAGGGUUGCGAAACCGCGAGGUCAAGCCAAUCCCAAAAAAUGCAUCCCAGUCCGGAUCGGAGUCUGCAACUCGACUCCGUGAAGUUGGAAUCGCUAGUAAUCCCGGAUCAGCAUGCCGGGGUGAAUACGUUCCCGGGCCUUGUACACACCGCCCGUCACACCACGAAAGCUGGUUCUACCCGACAACGGCGGACUAACCCUUCGGGAGGUAGGUCGUCUACGGUAGGGCUGGUGAUUGGGGUGAAGUCGUAACAAGGUACCA